AAGCAGGGCCACUACAAACUGUGCCAACGGGCUAGUCAGUUAUUGUUUUUAGGAACUAUUUCCUUUUAUUGUAUCUUCCUUAGAUGUUUAUAUGAUGCUUUAUUAGAUGUUUGAGUAUUAUCAUAUGUAUUAAAUAACAUCACAACUAACAGUUUCUGUAGGUUUUGAUACAUCACAAAUAUAUAAAAUAAUAUUUAAUUAUGUUACAUAACCACAUGUUACAAACCGAAUGUCAAAUCAAACUAAUCGAGGACUAGCUAAUUUUGCUGUGAAUGACGUUUCAGCAACUCCAAUUGGUUUGACAUCCGUUUUAAAUCUAACAGCCGAUUAGUAGACCUAUACUUUGACAAACGUUUCAGAAACCGGGCGUAAACAACAAAUCUAACUUAAC
Molecule: long non-coding RNA, 391 nt
Organism: Melitaea cinxia (Glanville fritillary)
Lineage: Eukaryota; Metazoa; Arthropoda; Insecta; Lepidoptera; Nymphalidae
Exons: 3
Source: RefSeq, a predicted model, not a curated record